RNAcentral lists this long non-coding RNA (1163 nucleotides) under Gallus gallus (chicken). Its description in RNAcentral is "lncRNA (ENSGALG00010026678.1)". The record is from RNAcentral. Lineage: Eukaryota; Metazoa; Chordata; Aves; Galliformes; Phasianidae.
AAGGCUGUUUCUAUGUGUGCUUCACUGCAAGCCUAGUUGGCUAUAGAUGUUACCUCCCUGUGCAGGAUGUGGUGACAGGGAUGGAAUGAAGGGUGCAGGAUGUGCAAUGAAGGAUGAAGCUAUAGUCUAAGGAAAGGAACCUGAGAUUUAUGUUGUCAUGAGGAGGGAAUAGGAACACUCCUGACCUGAUGCUGUGGGACUCUGGAGGUGGAUGCCUAGGGCAACCCACACAAAUAGCUUUCUCAUUAAAUGCACGUGUGUUCCUUGCUUGUACAUCAAUUGCAGUUCUGUAAGAGUCACAGGGUGAUUGCAACAGAAUAUUUUUGUGAGUAUUCAUCCAAAAUUUAGUAUGGUUCAUUUGGUGACAGCACCAGUAGCCUCAUUUCUUUUCUGUGAUUGUUUUGCAGAAGAACAAGAGCAAUCAUUUAAAUAAUGAACUUUAAACUAAUAGUGUAGCUUACCUGUGUUCUGCAAGGUCACUCAUUUGUACUCACCUGACUGGAAAGCAGAAAGAACCAGGAGAGCCUGGUCAAGAUCCACAGAGCCAUUUAUUGAUUUUUUUUCAGCCUUUAUUCACAAAAUACUUCAACAAAUCUUAUAUUUUUGGUCUCCGUUUUGCUAAUUGCAUGUGACUAUGAGUAGGCUGAGUCUUACAGGGUCGAAAGUCAUAAUGUAGAUUAAUUAUCAUUAUGAUUACUAAGGUUAUAUAAGUAUGCAUACAAGGACCAUGUUUAGAAGCACAGUACUUGCAGUCAGAUUUCCAGCGUGAUCAUUGCCAUAGUGAUUUUUAUUUGGUCAUAUAAAUUGUAAAAAGCCCCAGAUAGAAAUGGAAUGUCUUCAUUUUUAACCUCUGAAGGUAUUUUGAUUGAUUUUUCAACACAUUAACUGUUGUGGUUGCGCUUACUCUUUUUUUGUCCACGUUUUGGACUAUGAUGUAUUCCAAAACCAUAAAAUUUACUGAAGAAGCUUUAGUUUGGUGUGACCUAAGGGGCAGUCUUACAAAAUGCAUGAAUUCACGUUCCUCAUUACUUAUUAGCCAUUAAUCUAAAAUAUCCCCUUCAGGAUCUAUCUGAUGAAGUGUGAAGUAAAAUGGUAUUAUAUGGUUAUACCUCUUAAUAACUGAAACUUUAAUGUAUACUUUAAAAUGAAAAGAAUAAACAAGA